RNAcentral lists this microRNA precursor (124 nucleotides) under Cucumis sativus (cucumber). Its description in RNAcentral is "pre miRNA MIR164". It matches the Rfam family "MIR164 microRNA precursor family". Lineage: Eukaryota; Viridiplantae; Streptophyta; Magnoliopsida; Cucurbitales; Cucurbitaceae. The record is from RNAcentral.
CCGAUCAGGAUGGAGAAGCAGGGCACGUGCAUUACUCACUCGUGGAAGUCCUAACACAACACCACCGGUGGCUGUGUCUGAGUGAGUGGGUUGUUCAUGUGCCCCUCUUCUCCAUCCUGACCAC